UACGGGGGGGGCAAGCGUUGUUCGGAAUUACUGGGCGUAAAGGGCUCGUAGGUGGCCAACUAAGUCAGACGUGAAAUCCCUCGGCUUAACCGGGGAACUGCGUCUGAUACUGGAUGGCUUGAGUUCGGGAGAGGGAUGCGGAAUUCCAGGUGUAGCGGUGAAAUGCGUAGAUAUCAGGAGGAACACCGGUGGCGAAGGCGGUGGUCUGGGCCGGCACUGACGCUGAGGAGCGAAAGCGUGGGUAGCAAACAGG
This 253-nucleotide ribosomal RNA is filed under the name uncultured bacterium. RNAcentral's name for it is "partial 16S ribosomal RNA". It matches the Rfam family "Bacterial small subunit ribosomal RNA", at positions 524 to 776 of the family's 1533-position model. The record is from RNAcentral.